GUUGCGCUACGCAGCAGAAUCAAACCAGAUAAUUCCAAAGUUGUCUCUGGCAAAAUCGCGUCAUUACAUAUUACUAAUAACAACUAUGCCGAUUUUGCGAAGCGAGUAGAGGAAUUAUCUGACGCAUUAGAGCGAUCUUUAAUUAUUGAGGGUAUGACUCAAGCAAAAGCCCAUGAGUUAGCGGUAGAGCAGACAGUAAAUGUUUGCAGACUGAACAGUCGUUCAGAACUAGUAAAAUCUAUUUUAGCAUCAACCACUUUUACGGAUUCGAAAGAUGUAGUCGCAAAAAUGAUUGUAGAACACAAUAAUGAAGUCAAAGAGCGGCAGGUGUUAUCUUUUAGGUCACGGGCAAAUAGACCAAAUAGUUUUCGAGGAGGUUUUAGAGGGCAUAGCAACUAUGGCUAUCACAACACUAGUUUCAGAUUUAAUAACGGCAAUACAAAUAGGCACAAUAAUGGCAAUAACACAAGGCACAAUAAUAAUCAAAAUAAUUACAAUAGAAGUAACAAUUUUAACAAUAGACAAAAUAAUUACAGAAAUAGCACAAGCAAUCGUUCGGCAAGCAACAGAAACAACUCUUCUCGUUCAAAUUCUAGAAACACUUCUAAUGUUCGAUUUUUAAACGCCGAUGCCCCUCAGGAGCGAACACUGGGGGAGCAGGAGCUAAGCAAUUAAACGUAGUUACCCCUGAAAAAUCAAUUUACUGCUUGAACCUUAAUUAUUCAGAUUUUAUUGAAUUAAAUUGUACCGAUUCUUACAAAUUAUGCUCGUUUCUCGUAGAUUCACAAGCAGACAUCUCUUUAAUCAAGAUUUCCAGUUUAGCAAGAAAUUCAGCAAUUAACAGUAGCAAUACCAUAAACAUCACUGGUGUAACAACUGAAACGGUUACAACAUUGGGAACUAUGACAGUUUUAAUAUACCUUCUGACGGCAUACUAGGCAAGGACUUUUUAAAGACGAACAGAUGUAUUAUUAACUACGCAAAUGACAGUAUAACUAUCGGCAUCGGGACAGAAAGCACUAAAAUAGCAAUUGUACACGGUUCAAAUACCGACACUUUAGUCAUUCCUCCAA
This 1073-nucleotide long non-coding RNA is filed under the name Rhagoletis pomonella (apple maggot). RNAcentral describes it as "uncharacterized LOC118734158". The record is from RNAcentral. Lineage: Eukaryota; Metazoa; Arthropoda; Insecta; Diptera; Tephritidae.